This 565-nucleotide ribosomal RNA is filed under the name Duganella sp. So3Ps_1917. Its description in RNAcentral is "bacterial SSU rRNA". It matches the Rfam family "Bacterial small subunit ribosomal RNA", at positions 381 to 942 of the family's 1533-position model. Lineage: Bacteria; Pseudomonadati; Pseudomonadota; Betaproteobacteria; Burkholderiales; Oxalobacteraceae. The record is from RNAcentral.
GCCUGAUCAGCCAUGCCGCGUGAGUGAAGAAGGCCUUCGGGUUGUAAAGCUCUUUUGUCAGGGAAGAAACGGCCUGUUCUAAUACAGUGGGCUAAUGACGGUACCUGAAGAAUAAGCACCGGCUAACUACGUGCCAGCAGCCGCGGUAAUACGUAGGGUGCAAGCGUUAAUCGGAAUUACUGGGCGUAAAGCGUGCGCAGGCGGUUUUGUAAGACUGUCGUGAAAUCCCCGGGCUCAACCUGGGAAUGGCGAUGGUGACUGCAAGGCUAGAGUUUGGCAGAGGGGGGUAGAAUUCCACGUGUAGCAGUGAAAUGCGUAGAUAUGUGGAGGAACACCGAUGGCGAAGGCGGCCCCCUGGGUCAAAACUGACGCUCAUGCACGAAAGCGUGGGGAGCAAACAGGAUUAGAUACCCUGGUAGUCCACGCCCUAAACGAUGUCUACUAGUUGUCGGGUCUUAAUUGACUUGGCAACGCAGCUAACGCGUGAAGUAGACCGGCCGGGGAGUACGGUCGCAAGAUUAAAACUCAGAGGAAUUGACGGGGACCGCACAAGCGGUGAUGAUGU